Molecule: ribosomal RNA, 435 nt
Filed under: uncultured bacterium
Lineage: Bacteria
Description: partial 16S ribosomal RNA
Rfam family: Bacterial small subunit ribosomal RNA
Source: RNAcentral
AGCGAACGCUGGCGGCAGGCUUAACACAUGCAAGUCGAGCGGGCAUCUUCGGAUGUCAGCGGCAGACGGGUGAGUAACACGUGGGAACGUACCCUUCGGUUCGGAACAACUCUGGGAAACUGGAGCUAAUACCGGAUACGCCCUUAUGGGGAAAGGUUUACUGCCGAAGGAUCGGCCCGCGUCUGAUUAGCUAGUUGGUGGGGUAACGGCCUACCAAGGCGACGAUCAGUAGAUGGUCUGAGAGGAUGAUCAGCCACACUGGGACUGAGACACGGCCCAGACUCCUACGGGAGGCAGCAGUGGGGAAUAUUGGACAAUGGGGGCAAGCCUGAUCCAGCCAGGCCGCGUGAGUGAUGAAGGCCUUAGGGUUGUAAAGCUCUUUUGUCCGGGACGAUAAUGACGGUACCGGAAGAAUAAGCCCCGGCUAACUUCGUG